ACGGGGAGCAGCAGGCGCGAAACCUUUACACUGCACGCCAGUGCGAUAAGGGGACCCCGAGUGCGAGGGCAUACAGUCCUCGCUUUUCGUGACCGUAAGAAGGUCUCAGAAUAAGAGCUGGGCAAGACCGGUGCCAGCCGCCGCGGUAAUACCGGCAGCUCGAGUGAUAGCCACUAUUAUUGGGCCUAAAGCGUCCGUAGCCGGCCGAACAGGUCCGUCGGGAAAUCCACCCGCUCAACGGGUGGACGUCCGGCGGAAACCAGUCGGCUUGGGGCCGGGAGACCAGAGAGGUACGUCCGGGGUAGGAGUGAAAUCCUGUAAUCCUGGACGGACCGCCGGUAGCGAAAGCGUCUCUGGAGAACGGACCCGACGGUGAGGGACGAAAGCUUGGGUCUCGAACCGGAUUAGAUACCCGGGUAGUCCAAGCUGUAAACGAUGCUCGCUAGGUGUGGCGUUGGCUAUGAGCCAGCGCUGUGCCGUAGGGAAGCCGAGAAGCGAGCCGCCUGGGAAGUACGUCCGCAAGGAUGAAACUUAAAGGAAUUGGCGGGGGAGCAC
This 555-nucleotide ribosomal RNA is filed under the name uncultured Halococcus sp. RNAcentral describes it as "bacterial SSU rRNA". It matches the Rfam family "Archaeal small subunit ribosomal RNA", at positions 325 to 879 of the family's 1478-position model. The record is from RNAcentral. Lineage: Archaea; Methanobacteriati; Methanobacteriota; Halobacteria; Halobacteriales; Halococcaceae.